This 3642-nucleotide long non-coding RNA is filed under the name Olea europaea subsp. europaea. Lineage: Eukaryota; Viridiplantae; Streptophyta; Magnoliopsida; Lamiales; Oleaceae. The record is from RNAcentral.
GUCAAUUUGUAAAGUCUCCAAUUCCCUUAAUUAGAAGUACUGGUCUAUAUUGAAAAUCAAUGUUUUUCAACUUGUCAACUUCCUACAUCUUUAUGAAAAUUGAGAACAAGUAUAAAUUCAUUUAGAAAGAAAGUCUAAAAAGUCUCAAACAAUUACACAGACCAUAGUAGUAUCAAGGAUAACCCCUCGAAUCAAGCCAAAGAAAAGGAGGAUGAUUCUUAGACUUAAAUCAAGGCUAAUAUUAGAAUGUAACUGUUAGGAAAUUGCAACGACAAAAUUAGUCUAGUUGCUUAAAAUAGACUCGGUACGAUGUAUAUAAAUAUUGUAUUAUCUUGUAAACAAUAAGUGUGGAAAAAUCUCAUUGACUUGAGCAAUACAGAAAUUAAGUCUACCAUACAAUUUUUAUCAUGGUAUUAGAGCAGUCAAGCUCUAACAAGCAAUUGAUCCCCUCCCCAAAAUUGUUCUCUCCCAUGCCAUCAACAUCCCUGACUCCUUCCCGAUUACAACCGCUCUCUCCAAUUGAUAAAUCCUUGAUUGCCCUCAACAUUUCUUUUUAGGUUAAUGAGAAGCUAACACCCCUAGUCUUUCCAAAAUGGCGUGCCCACAUUGAAGCCCUUCUCAUUGACUAUGAUCUCCUGGACUACGUCACUAGAGACCACCUAUGCCCCGUCCUUACUCCCAGCUCUCCAACAGACCCAUAGGUUCGUCAAAAUAAGCUCAUCCUUAAUACUAUUUGGCCUUCACUACUACAACCAUCACCCUCCGUCACUGCCACCAAAACAUUCUAGGAUGCAUGAAAAAAAUUAAACAUCAAGAAUGCAAGUAAGUUGCGAACCCGAGCAAUGCAACUAAAGGAGGAGGUUACCUUGAUUCAGUUGGGCAAUUGUUUCAUGCCGAUUAUUUGUACAUGGUGAAAAUUUCUUGAAGAUGAGAUUGCCCUCAUCAAUCAUCCCAAUCUAAUGAUGAUCUCACCCUUUACAUUCUUCAUGGUCUACGUCUCGACUUCCGUGCGAUUGUCGUCCCUAUUUGUGCUCAAGAGAACUCAUGGACCUUCAAGGACCUCUACAAUUUCCUCGUUGACCAUGAAAGCUACUUGCGUCGCCUCAAGGUCAUCGCCUAGUAGCUAGUUGCCACAGCCAAUUCCAUCCAUCGCCACUCUAUUUUGCAUAACGCAACUGGAAGCCCCCAGCAACGUGGGUCUUAUAAGGGCAAUGGACCCUGAUGGUCUUCAAGCCCACCUCAUCCCAACAAUGACCUAAAUCAUGACCAUAGGAGGCCCUGGAAACUCUAUAAGCCGGUUUAAUUAAAGCCACACUGUUAGUAACCCAAGAAAUAGUUUUGUGAUCAACUGGCUCAUACUGUAAAAAGUUGUCUGUGGUCGCAUUCUUCUAAUGUUACCGUGAAUUGUGCCUUCACCUCUUGCACCAAAGACAAUGAAUGGCUCAUUGAUUCUGCGGCAUCUCACAAAGUUAAUGGUAAUUUGACAAACUUGUGCACCUACUCUGAGUGUGAUGGGACAUGUGAGGUAGCAAUUGGUAACGAAUCAAGUUUGCUUGUCUUCUAUGAUGGUUCUUUAGUAUUUCAAACGUCCAUUUGUACCUUCCAUCUGGAUCAAACACUUUGUGCUCCUAAAAUCAGCAAAAAUUUGAUCUUUGUCCAUCAUUUUACAUCUCAAAAUAAUGUUUUUAUUGAAUUUCACCCCACUUAUUUCCCUGUGAAAGAUCAGAUCACAACGCGAUAAUGCUUAGAGGUAUAUGUGAAAAAGGUUUGUACACACUCCCAAAGUCAUUGGUGGAUUCAUCAAAAUGGUUGCAAAUAUACAUGAGCGAACCUCGAUUGAGAGAUGGCACAAGCGUCUCGGACAUCCACCUUUCAAAACUGCCCAAAAUUUAGUUAAUUUUUUUUCACUUCCAGUAAGAAAAGAGCGAUUGUCUCAUCUAUGUACUUCUUGUUCAGGCAAUAAAGUGCAUAAACAACCAUUUCGUUCCACUAGUCUUCAAAGUCAUGCUCCCCUUGACCUUAUUUAUACUUCUAUUGGUCUUGAUGGUUUACGAUAUUAUUUGAUUUUGGUUGAUAAUUUUACCAAAAAUUUAGGGUUCUAUCCUAUGGCUACCAAAUUUAGUGUUCCUAGUAUCUUUCCAAAAUUCAAACACCUUGUUGAAAAUAGAUUUCAAACCAAAAUCACAAGUCUUUGCUUUGAUAAUGGUGGUGAAUCCUUGCCUGAAAAUAAUAACUUUCAAUUCAUGGAAUUAGUCACUAAACCACUGCACCCUAUUCACAACGGCAAAAUAAGGUCCCUGAACGUCAUCAUUGUCACUUGGUGGAAACAGAUCUCACCCUACUGCAUGAUGCAUCCUUGCCCCUCUCUUAUUAGCCGCAUGCCUUCCAUAUUGCCACCUAUCCAUAAACCGUCAACCUACACCUUUGUUAUGGAACAAAUCCCCAUUUUGCAAGCUUCUUAACUAUCUCAAAUUACAAAGUUUUGGUUUCCAUUGCUUUCUACUCACCAGGCCUUGCUACAACAUAAGCUUCAGCACAAAUCUGUUUACUGCUUAUUCCUUAGCUAUCCUUAACUUAAACCCCAAAAUGCAUAUAAAUGUCUACAUCUAUUUGAUGAGAGACUAAGCCCGAUCCAGUCACAAACCACAAAGAGAAAGGGCCAUCCUUUUAUUCGGGUUAUUUAGGCUAUUUCUCAUGCAUCACAGCGAUCUCCAUCGACAAUGGUUUCGAACUAUGUUGUUGCUGCUUCCACAUCAACUCCAUGUAACUCUCAUGUGCCAUCUGAUCCUUCUUUGGGACAAUCUACCUUUAUCCUCUAUUGACUUAUUACCCAGCGCUACCGUGAGGUCAUCUCGUUAGAUGUUACACCCAUACUACCUUCUACCGUGCCCAUCCCACCAGUAGCUCCCACUUUUGUCCAAGAAAAAGCCAUCCCCUAUCCCACCACAUAGAACCCACCUGAUGAUUACUUAUCUCCAAACCACAUAUACAAACUUAAAUAAUUUUAUUCAGACACAAAAUAUCCUAUCCAACACACCAUUGAUCCAAAUUGUGUGUGUCAAGCACUCUGUGAUACCUAGUGGCAUACUCAAUGACCUAGGUAACAUUACAAAGAGACAUUUAGUCUUUUUGUGCGACCUGCCACAAUUAAAACUGUUUUGAAAAUUGCUGUUGCAAGAAUAGUUAUUUAAGACAGCUUGAUGUGGACAAUAUUUUUUUUCAUGUGAGUUGAUUGAGAAUGUGUAUAUGGUUCAGCCUCCAGGGUUUAAGGAUAUGUCCAAUUCUGAUCAUUUUUACAGAUUGCACAAGGCCAUUUAUGAUCUCAAUCAGCCCCUCGAGCGUGGUACUUUUCAUUGAAACAUACCCUGAUCGAGCUUGGUUUUUAAAAUUCAAAGGCAGAUUCAUCCUUGUUUAUCUAUUAAAAUAGUUCUAUUAUAUUGUAUUUUCUAGAUUAUUUCCACAAGGACUAUUAUCACUACAAGAAUUUUAUGUUUUCCAUACAAGAUAUAUUCGUAGGGAAAGGUUCUUAUUUGUGGGAAGAAACUUUUGCGGAAGAAAAAAUUUUGGAGGAAAAUUUUUAGAGCAAAUAUCAAGGGGAUAAGUAAAAGACAACAAUUUUCGAUAUUUGUGUGUAAAGUUUUC